This 24-nucleotide non-coding RNA is filed under the name Rattus norvegicus (Norway rat). Lineage: Eukaryota; Metazoa; Chordata; Mammalia; Rodentia; Muridae. The record is from RNAcentral.
AGGUGUUUUCCGGAGAAGAGCCAC